RNAcentral lists this ribosomal RNA (433 nucleotides) under uncultured bacterium. RNAcentral describes it as "partial 16S ribosomal RNA". It matches the Rfam family "Bacterial small subunit ribosomal RNA", at positions 29 to 507 of the family's 1533-position model. The record is from RNAcentral.
AACGAACGCUGGCGGCAUGCCUAACACAUGCAAGUCGAACGAGACCUUCGGGUCUAGUGGCGCACGGGUGCGUAACGCGUGGGAACCUGCCCUUAGGUUCGGAAUAACUCCCCGAAAGGGGUGCUAAUACCGGAUAAUGUCUUCGGACCAAAGAUUUAUCGCCUUUGGAUGGGCCCGCGUUGGAUUAGCUAGUUGGUAGGGUAAAAGCCUACCAAGGCGACGAUCCAUAGCUGGUCUGAGAGGAUGAUCAGCCACACUGGGACUGAGACACGGCCCAGACUCCUACGGGAGGCAGCAGUAGGGAAUAUUGGACGAUGGGCGAAAGCCUGAUCCAGCAGUGCCGCGUGAGUGAUGAAGGCCUUAGGGUUGUAAAGCUCUUUUACCCGGGAUGAUAAUGACAGUACCGGGAGAAUAAGCUCCGGCUAACUCCGUG